UUAGUUUUAACUAAAAUAGUUUGGCAGCGAAUGAAUCCUAUCGGGGGAAGGUGUGUUGUAAAGGAUGAUCCGCCUAUUAAUUUACUCUUAUUAUGUUGGUGUAUAUCUAGUUUAAUAUUAUUGUCUAGUGACUUAAUUUGUGUAGAAUUUAGUUAAGCUAAGUCUAUGUGCUGCAUAUAGGAGUUUUCAUGCGUUACAUUUAUAAAGAGUUAGUUGUAAAGACUAAUUUAUUUAGGACUCGAAAGUAAUGUACAAUGAGUUUGUGUAUG
Molecule: ribosomal RNA, 269 nt
Filed under: Skrjabinotaenia lobata
Lineage: Eukaryota; Metazoa; Platyhelminthes; Cestoda; Cyclophyllidea; Catenotaeniidae
Description: partial small subunit ribosomal RNA
Source: RNAcentral